GACGAACGCUGGCGGCGUGCUUAACACAUGCAAGUCGAACGGAAAGGCCCUGCUUUUGUGGGGUGCUCGAGUGGCGAACGGGUGAGUAACACGUGAGUAACCUGCCCUUGGCUUUGGGAUAACUUCAGGAAACUGGGGCUAAUACCGGAUAGGGGCUCCUGCUGCAUGGUGGGGGUUGGAAAGUUUCGGCGGUUGGGGAUGGACUCGCGGCUUAUCAGCUUGUUGGUGGGGUAGUGGCUUACCAAGGCUUUGACGGGUAGCCGGCCUGAGAGGGUGACCGGCCACAUUGGGACUGAGAUACGGCCCAGACUCCUACGGGAGGCAGCAGUGGGGAAUAUUGCACAAUGGGCGGAAGCCUGAUGCAGCAACGCCGCGUGCGGGAUGACGGCCUUCGGGUUGUAAACCGCUUUCGCCUGUGACGAAGCGUGAGUGACGGUAAUGGGUAAAGAAGCACCGGCUAACUACGUG
Molecule: ribosomal RNA, 468 nt
Filed under: uncultured bacterium
Lineage: Bacteria
Description: partial 16S ribosomal RNA
Rfam family: Bacterial small subunit ribosomal RNA
Source: RNAcentral